UACGGGAGGCAGCAGUGGGGAAUCUUGCACAAUGGGCGAAAGCCUGAUGCAGCGACGCCGCGUGCGGGACGAAGGCCUUCGGGUUGUAAACCGCUUUCAGCAGGGACGAGGCCGCAAGGUGACGGUACCUGCAGAAGAAGCCCCGGCUAACUACGUGCCAGCAGCCGCGGUAAU
RNAcentral lists this ribosomal RNA (174 nucleotides) under uncultured rumen bacterium. RNAcentral's name for it is "partial 16S ribosomal RNA". It matches the Rfam family "Bacterial small subunit ribosomal RNA", at positions 340 to 524 of the family's 1533-position model. The record is from RNAcentral.